RNAcentral lists this long non-coding RNA (748 nucleotides) under Salmo salar (Atlantic salmon). RNAcentral's name for it is "lncRNA (ENSSSAG00000115002.1)". The record is from RNAcentral. Lineage: Eukaryota; Metazoa; Chordata; Actinopteri; Salmoniformes; Salmonidae.
CCCCAGGGAAGCUUUGGUGCUUCGUGUGGCCUCAACGUUUCUUUCUGCUGCUUCAUACCCCAUGCAGUGCAGGUGCUACAUUGUGCCAUGUAUGUUCUCAGCUGUGCAUUCAUGCCUGGCCAGUAGACACACUCGCAAGCUCUUCUCAGACAUCCCUCUGUUCCUAUGGCUACUUCCAAGGGUACAUGUCCUUUCACUUCAGGGCAUUUUUCAUUUUUUUCUCUCAUGUGUCCGUCCACAGUAUCUGCAUUGUAUAAUGCUCUGUCCCUCAGUAGGGUCUCCUCUCCCUUUUGGUCUCUCUUCCUGUGUUAUUGCAUGCACUGCUACAGGGCCCUGCACAUUUAUGACAGUCCUGCAGCUCCUCCAAUCUGUAUGCAUUUCUCUAAACUAAGAUCAGUCUCUCUGAGCAAGCGCUCUCUUAGGCCACACACAAUCCUGUCCCUGAUAAGAGAGUCUGUGAUUACUCCAAAGUCGCAGGUGGCCACUAGAGUCCUCACUUCAUUGAGAUAUUUGUCUAAACUCUCAUCUUGGCCCUGACUUCGCAUUAAAAAAUUAUCUCUCAAUUGUUUCAUUUUUCUUGGGAUCACAAAAUGCAUCCAGUGCUGCAAUUACUUCUUCAACAAAGAGAUUGUCUUUUGUACUGCCCACACAUAGGGUCUCACAAAUCUCUCUGCCUUUUUCCCCAAUGAGAUAAUAGAGUAGCUUCACUUUGUAGUCAUCACGUUUUUCUCUCAUUGUAAGAGCCAUG